UUCACGAGUCGGCAGUUCAGUAAGUGAGUCAGAUUAAUUCAGUAACAUCUACGACUGUGUUUUCGUGUACUAAUAAAUAUCCAGUUCAUGAGAAUAUUUUUUUUCGGGAAGCAAUGUGCUGCUCACACUGAUAUUGACUCACUAAAAACAACCGGCUCAUUAGAAUCAUUCAUUUGGUGACCUGACUACAUUUAGGUAUGUUUUGGAUUCACUAAAAGGAACUGGCUCAUAAGAGUCAUUCGUUCGGGAUUCGGGUUACACCAAAGAUAGACGUUGUUGCGGUGCUGAUGAAUAGUGCAGGAAACACUGAGUUUUUAAGUGCGGUGUUCCAGUCGCACAAGCAGAAGAAUGCACGUUUGACAACCGUUAACGGAAUCGAACGUAAUGAAAAUCAGCCGAUUUCGAUAUUUGACUAACGUAAAUGGAAGUAAAAACCGCGCGUUUCUCGGUUGCCAAGCGUAUCACUCACUAUCUAAACAGUUUAGUACGCAUGGUAACGGUUCGUCUUCAAAAGAGGAAAGCUUUGUUUUUUCCUUUUCAUGACUUACAAAACAAACACCCCAUCAUUAUGACGAUAAUCGAUCGGAGCAACUCUUACCAGAGUCGGUAAAUUCAGUCCAGCUUCGGCCGAAAAUUCCCCUCCCUCCGAGGAAAUGAGCACAGAGUCCGGCGGUGGUAAUAUGGCUGACGGUGCGCUCACCUUUGUGCGCGCGGCUGAAUGACAGCGACUCCAGUUCCUGUUUGAGACAUGCUGCAGCGCGAGCGCGACGCCCACAGCAGAGGACACGAUGAGUAGCGCGCCAUGCUCAAGACCAAGACAAAAACCUUUCUUAAACCUUUUUUAAAACCUUUCACAUCAUGGAAGCUGAAUGACUGAAGUUUACGUGAAAAAUUAUUUCAAAGACAGAAUAAUGUACAGUAUUUAGGUACUAGGAACAGGUGCCCUGCAAACUGAAGUGCAGCAUUCAGAAAUAUUAUAAAGUGGUAAAACAAUGUGGCACUGUCCAAGUAGCCUGCUACGAUAAUGUGAUUUUGCAGGUAAUAGAAGACUCAGAUAGACUCAUAUCUCACAUUUGUCAAUGAAUAUGAUUUCAUUUUUUCCGGUAGUGUAAAUGCCUAUUAGUAGCGUACAGGUAGGCCUAAAUACCUUAGGCUACAUAAUGUAAACAUCUUUUGAUUGAUUGUGAUAUUUUCUUUACUGCCCAUGAAGGCAAUUUCCAAACCCACACAUAAUAAACCUAAAAACCCAGAAUGCUUCAACAAACCGUGUUGGAAGAAAAGGGUGUUAGGAUCUAUUUAUCUGUCAGUAAAAUUAAAGUAACAUAAAAUACAGGAACUGUAAUAUGUGGGAAAUAUUGCCGACAUCAAUAGUUUUAUAGCCUACUAUGGCAAGCUUUUCAGGAAAUCAAGUUUUUAUAUAUUGUGAAGAUUUUGUGUCAUCGGUUUAAUAACGAUGCAUUGGUUUAGCCCCGGGGUGUCCAAACUCGGUCCUGGAUGGCCACACUGUAAAAAAUAUUCCGUAGUUUUUACAAAAUAAUUUUGGCAGCUGUGGUUGCCAGAAUAAUUUUGUAAAAAAUACAGAAAAACUGUAAACACAUUUACAGAACAAACUGUAAAUUUUACAGUAUAAAACUGUAAUUUACAAACAAGAAAAUUUGAAUGUAAACCAGUAAAUUCAACAAUGCACACUACUACUAAAAUCUGUUUUGCACCUUUAACAUAUACUGACACCACCAUAAUAAUACAGGUGGUAAAAGAGAAAGCCACAUGAAGAAUCAGUGUUCAUAACAAGUAGCUUUUCCAUGAGCUGAAUUAUAUACUAAUAUAAAGAAGGUGCAAAGAGUCAUUGACGCAAACGCAAAACACCAUCAUGGUAACCCACAACACUUACAUAAUGCAAUAAACAUUCAUUAAACAACAGAAGAUGUAACAUAAAACCCUAAUGUACAUAACUGAUAACAAAAACUAUUAAGAAACAUGAUUUUUUUAAACAAAAUACUUUCAAAUGUGGAGUGUCACACAGGGAAUUGUGGGAAUAUCAGUUUACAGUUUUUGACUGUAAAUUAUACAUUGAUUUGUUCUUUUUUACUUCUAAAAAUUGUAAAAAUUUACAGCAUUUUACUGUGAAAAUUACAUAAAAUAUCUGGUAAGAGCUUUUACAGUUUUUCCCUGUAUAUAGUACGGGAACGUACUGUUAACCUUUUUACAAUUUUUUUCCGUAGCAUUUUUACAAUAUUUUAACGUUAAAAUCACGUUCAUUUUUUUUACAGUGCACUGUCCUGCAGAGUUUAGCUCCAACACACCUGCCUGGAAGUUUCUAGUAUGCCUAGUAAGACCUUGAUUAGCUGGUUCAGGUGUGUUUAAUUGGGGUUUGAGCUAAACUUUGCAGGACAGUGGCCCUACAGGAGCAGGACUGGACACCCCUGGUUUAGCCUAUACAACAUAUUGCUAUGCCUGUAUAGUAUACUCAUUCAAGAAAACUAAUGAACCAACACAUAUUCACACAUACACAUUUCACUUUACCCAACCUGAGAAUGUUGAGCACAAAUUAAAAAAUGUGGGUUAUACUCUCAUACUCUAAUUUCAUGUGCUAUCUAGGACAGCUGAAAGAAAAAAAAAGAAAGAAAAAAAAUCAUUACUUGAUUCUGCUCUUCAAGUGCUCUGUGUUAUCAUGCUGUAUUCCCCUUAUAUCACUCAAACAUUUGCACUUUUCUAAUAUUUGAUCCAUGAGCUUUUUAUUAGCCCAUUUAUAAUAAUAAUAACAAUUAUAUAUAUAUAUAUAUAUAAUGACGUUUUUGCUUGUCUGACAAGAGACAUAUAUGAGUAUGUGCUUACUUAUACUUAAGAGACUAAAUUAAAGAGAACAAAAUAAGAAAAAAAAAAAAAAAAAACGUGUAUGAUGUCAUCUUUAAAUUAAAUAAACCUGUUUCCUGCUGCUUUAACCUCAAUAAUGAUAAACUGGUAAUUUGAUCGGUGAUUCAGUAGAGAGACCCAUUAUUACAGUCAUUACAUAACUACAGACUACAUCUCAAUGUGAAAAGGAUGGGGCAUUAUUUUAGUCAUUACUGCACCUGUGCUCACUAAUUUCACAACAAGAUGAAAAAAUGUAUGCGUAACAUGAGGAAAACCUUAGUCAGCACUUUCAUUCAGAUGACUAGUGCAAACUGUUGAAUUAUUAAAGGUAAUCGCUUAUCUGAGAGAGAGAGAGAGAGAGAGAGAGAGAGAGAGUUCUAUAGAAAGUAUUUAGUCUAGAAUAGAUGGAGCUUUUGCCCAUGUUUCUGCUUUUAUGUCGUGUUCACUUUGUAAUAAAACCUCAUAUGUUUGAAUGAUGAACAAUAGUAAUUAGGUCAUUCAAACAUUUACGUCAGUUCUGAAUAAGUAAGUACACUGUGACUGUGACUCAGAGGUCUUUCCUUAACAACUUCUUUACAUCAACACGCCUGUUUCUAUUUGUGUUGCCAGAGCUGCACCGACGGAAGUGAAACUUCGGUGCACCUAAUGGGUGUGGUCAUAUGUGGGAGUUGACCAAUGGAGAAGCAGGAUUAAAAUAGAGCAGUAUAUAGGCGAGGUGAAUGAAAUCUGAAGCGGAACCGUCGAACAGAUCACGUCACGGUGUUUAGUCAAAGGUCCAGGCGAGACAGGUGGCAGUAGCUGAGCAGCCAAUCAGAAUGAUCAGAUGGCCCAACGGACCAACGAGCUCCGACGCCCGAUUCAACAUGUCGAAUCGGCCGAAAAAAAGCCAACGAGAACCAACUUCAGCUGACUGUGCGGAACACACUGAGAAAACUUAGUCGGCCGACGAACAAAAACUGCCCGGCUUGGUGUGUUCCUGCCUUUACGGGUUUGGAACAACAUGAGGGUGAGUAAUGACAGAAUUUUCAUUUUUGGGUGAACUAUCCCUUUAAUUGGAGUAAUAUAAAGUCUAGUUCAGGCCACAAUGCACCUAUCCACUGAACUUUUAACCACCAGCAGUUUAACCACCAGCCACCAAAUUAGGGGCUUUCACACUGAAUAGUUCUAGGAACUCAGUUAUAGGAACUAGCCACUAGGAUUUCUCCCCCGGGCCAUGUUCCUGGUUGCAUUCGCACCGGGAAUAGGAACUCUGAAGCAGCCGACAGUGGCGUCUUUAAGUGCGAUAUUUACAAACGGUUUAAAAACUGGUUAAUGGAGGAUGCUGUGAUCGGAGCUGUGUUUGUUGUGUGUCGUGGGUUUCGUGAUAACGGAGAUGGAAUGUAAACGCAUAAUUUACGCGACUGAAAGAGUAAAAAGUUGGGCUAUGAGACUUUUUAAAAAUGCCAGGUGCCGGUGUUUGACAUGCGUUUGACCAAUAAACAUACACUCACGUCACUGAUAGUUCCUAUAGUCCUGGUUUAGAACCUACUCUGAAGUUUAAGCUAAUUUAGUUCCCCCCAAAAGGAGUUCCUAGAACUAAAAUUGUUCCUAGUUCCUGCGGUGCGAACACGCCAAAAUCCGGGUACUUCAGCAAAGUUCUAGGAACUAUGAAACUAUGAAAACCCCUGUUGUGCCGUUAUUUCCAGACAACAAAAUUGUUUUGUGUCCUGUUUCUCUGUUGCCAUAGUCUUUACCUCUGAUUUAAUAAAACAACAACCUUGAUAGUUUUUGG
This is a long non-coding RNA of Ctenopharyngodon idella (grass carp), 4624 nucleotides long. RefSeq lists it as uncharacterized. NCBI's taxonomy places the organism in Eukaryota, Metazoa, Chordata, Actinopteri, Cypriniformes, Xenocyprididae. The transcript is spliced from 3 exons. The record is from RefSeq and is a predicted model, not a curated record.